This 71-nucleotide transfer RNA is filed under the name Streptomyces sp. F-1. RNAcentral describes it as "tRNA-Sec". Lineage: Bacteria; Bacillati; Actinomycetota; Actinomycetes; Kitasatosporales; Streptomycetaceae. The record is from RNAcentral.
GUCCGGCUUCGCGGGGAAGUUCGCCGUCUUCAAGGCGGCGGCGGCCGGUGGCGCGGUCCCGCUGGUGGUCA